CUCCUACGGGGGGGGCAGCAGUAGGGAAUCUUCGGCAAUGGACGAAAGUCUGACCGAGCAACGCCGCGUGAGUGAAGAAGGUUUUCGGAUCGUAAAACUCUGUUGUUAGAGAAGAACAAGGACGUUAGUAACUGAACGUCCCCUGACGGUAUCUAACCAGAAAGCCACGGCUAACUACGUGCCAGCAGCCGCGGUAAUACGUAGGUGGCAAGCGUUGUCCGGAUUUAUUGGGCGUAAAGCGAGCGCAGGCGGUUUCUUAAGUCUGAUGUGAAAGCCCCCGGCUCAACCGGGGAGGGUCAUUGGAAACUGGGAGACUUGAGUGCAGAAGAGGAGAGUGGAAUUCCAUGUGUAGCGGUGAAAUGCGUAGAUAUAUGGAGGAACACCAGUGGCGAAGGCGGCUCUCUGGUCUGUAACUGACGCUGAGGCUCGAAAGCGUGGGGAGCAAACAGGAUUAGAUACCCUGGUAGUCCACGCCGUAAACGAUGAGUGCUAAGUGUUGGAGGGUUUCCGCCCUUCAGUGCUGCAGCAAACGCAUUAAGCACUCCGCCUGGGAGUCGAACCA
Molecule: ribosomal RNA, 562 nt
Filed under: Enterococcus faecalis
Lineage: Bacteria; Bacillati; Bacillota; Bacilli; Lactobacillales; Enterococcaceae
Description: bacterial SSU rRNA
Rfam family: Bacterial small subunit ribosomal RNA
Source: RNAcentral